CGCACUGGUGAAGCGAUUCGGCAGUCGGAAAUAAUUCACGAUGAAUACUUUAAGCCGACACAGAUCUCCCCUUGCUUUUCCUUUGAAUAAACCCCAUUGUCGCAUUGCCCUCAAAAAUCAUCACCAGAAAGAAAAGUCGAAACAUCUUCGCAAGCGCAUGAAGAGGCUGCGAUCGGAGAUGGAAGAAAUAAGUCAAGAGCAGGAACAGAUCAAAAAGGGGCAAAGACAAGUGAGGGAAAAUUUGAAGCCUUGGAAAUGGAAUGCGAACUGCUUCGGAGGGAGACUAACAUCAUAAUGCAGAAGAGUAUGAGCACUCAACUCCGCCUUGCUUUCAUGUUCCAGAUUCUGAAAGCAAGAGAAAACCAGGAUUUAGACCAUGCCACCCAACUCACUUCAGCUCUCGGGAGCUGAUAGCCAGAGAGAAUCGGAAUGAAGCAGAUGGCUGAACACUUUUUAUCAAAUGAACAUGAAUAAGAUCUUGUUUCCUAUAACGUGUCUGUGUUUUGUGCCUUGUUUACAGGUGGCGUUUGGUUCAUCGUUUUA
Molecule: long non-coding RNA, 543 nt
Organism: Hibiscus syriacus
Lineage: Eukaryota; Viridiplantae; Streptophyta; Magnoliopsida; Malvales; Malvaceae
Exons: 3
Source: RefSeq, a predicted model, not a curated record